RNAcentral lists this ribosomal RNA (305 nucleotides) under uncultured bacterium. RNAcentral describes it as "bacterial SSU rRNA". It matches the Rfam family "Bacterial small subunit ribosomal RNA", at positions 333 to 655 of the family's 1533-position model. The record is from RNAcentral.
UUUCGGCUACGGGGGGCAGCAGUGGGGAAUAUUGCACAAUGGGGGAAACCCUGAUGCAGCGACGCCGCGUGAAGGAUGAAGUAUUUCGGUAUGUAAACUUCUAUCAGCAGGGAAGAAAAUGACGGUACCUGACUAAGAAGCCCCGGCUAACUACGUGCCAGCAGCCGCGGCAAUACGUAGGGGGCAAGCGUUAUCCGGACUUACUGGGUGUAAAGGGAGCGUAGACGGUAUGGCAAGUCUGAUGUGAAAACCCGGGGCUCAACCCCGGGACUGCAUUGGAAACUGUCGGACUAGAGUGUCGGAGA